RNAcentral lists this ribosomal RNA (466 nucleotides) under uncultured bacterium. Its description in RNAcentral is "partial 16S ribosomal RNA". It matches the Rfam family "Bacterial small subunit ribosomal RNA", at positions 28 to 507 of the family's 1533-position model. The record is from RNAcentral.
GACGAACGCUGGCGGCGUGCUUAACACAUGCAAGUCGAACGGUAAGGCUCCAGCUUGCUGGGGUACACGAGUGGCGAACGGGUGAGUAACACGUGGGUGACCUGCCCCGCACUUCGGGAUAAGCCUGGGAAACUGGGUCUAAUACCGGAUAGGACCAUGGUGUGGAUACUGUGGUGGAAAGUUUUUUCGGUGUGGGAUGGGCCCGCGGCCUAUCAGCUUGUUGGUGGGGUAAUGGCCUACCAAGGCGGCGACGGGUAGCCGGCCUGAGAGGGUGGACGGCCACAUUGGGACUGAGACACGGCCCAGACUCCUACGGGAGGCAGCAGUGGGGAAUAUUGCACAAUGGGCGGAAGCCUGAUGCAGCGACGCCGCGUGGGGGAUGACGGCCUUCGGGUUGUAAACUCCUUUCACCAUCGACGAAGGGUUUCUGACGGUAGAUGGAGAAGAAGCACCGGCUAACUACGUG